UUUAUGAAAAUUACUUUGGGUGAAGCUAGUAAAUUUCUUGAUAAUAUUAUGGUAAAUUAUUCACAAUGGCAUACCGAAAGAGCACCUACUAGUAAAAAGGUUAAUUCGAUUGAAGAAAUAAAUUCUUUGAGUGAAAAGGUUGAUGCUCUUAUGAAAUUGGUUGCUAAUAAAAGUGCUCCUAUUUAUCUUAAUGAUGUGCCUUUGUUUACUUUGAUUGAGCAAAAUAGUGAUCCCAUAGAUGUGAAUUUUGUCUCGCGAAACAAUUUCAAUAACAAUGCUUAUAGAGGUAAUUUUAAUCCUAGGCCUUUCCCUGGAAAGUCCUCUAACAAUUAUGGUAAUUCCUAUGGUAAUUCU
This 354-nucleotide ribosomal RNA is filed under the name Triticum aestivum (bread wheat). RNAcentral's name for it is "partial small subunit ribosomal RNA". Lineage: Eukaryota; Viridiplantae; Streptophyta; Magnoliopsida; Poales; Poaceae. The record is from RNAcentral.